CAGGAACUAAAGUCUGUGUAAAUUAGCUAAAAGCUAAAAACAAAGUCAUCAUCCAGAGGAACAAAAGAUUUGGAUAAUUCACACAACAGUACAGUUCACUGAUGCAGAUGAAGGGAUUGUUUGUCUAAAUGCGCAAGUCAAAUAACGGCAGGCUCUUUCCAGUCAGUGGCUUUUCAACAGGAUGUCAUAGACAGAGUGGAUCUGCGUCACGUCAUUUCCGCCUCCCCUUAAAUAAUCAAACCCCGGGAACUACAGCUUCAAUAAACAGCCUGACCUUGAUCUCAUCUUAUUGAGAGCCGCACAACAAUCGCAAAUACAUCAAACUCUCAGCCUGAACAACAGCGAGGGACAUUAACUCCACGCUCAAACAAUGGACAUGGCCAAAUCUCAAUCUCUCUUUUGUUUCAAAGCCCCUCGUUUUAGCCAAGUGGCAGAUAUUUUUAAUGUGACCGCACCGUGCAAAAAUUCAAUGCUUUUGUCCUGGAUCAAGCUUUCAGGCUUUGAUGGGACGAGGCCAUCUGGUUACUAUGGUGAGGAGGAGAUUUUAUUCAAAGACAAAGGGACUUACCACCCAGCAGGCUGUCAUUCAGUUCCCAAUAUUUACGGGAAGGAAUUACUCACCCUUCAAUCCCAUUUUGGCCCACAGUUAUGCCCCAUGAAUGCAUAGAUUUUCUCAAAACCUGUUUAAGUGUCUGUGCGAGGUAUGAGCUCUAUCUUUUUGUGGUUUGUGUACGCAAGAGUAAGGGGUGAAGAUACGGUUUCAGAACGGAAGAGCUUUGCACAAGUUAUGGCUUGGUAACAGUCAUCAUGCAACAACUAAAUUUAAGUUUCAGGUGAGCCUUCCACAGUCACCUGGUCUGAAGAACCACUGAACUAUCUGAGCUCUUCCCCUCAACGCUAAAAGACAAGUAGUCAAGAACUGGAAAUGAGAUUUUCUACGCUUUUAAAACCCCUGCGUAAUAGGAAGCUUCAGGUCCUUCAAAUUCCUUUAAAAAAAGUUGGUGGUUUCACAGUAAUGGUAUCAGAUAGUAAUUUAACAGUAUUAAUGUGGCAUGUAUAUGAUACUUCUAAUU
Long non-coding RNA from Paramisgurnus dabryanus, 1073 nucleotides. RefSeq lists it as uncharacterized. Lineage: Eukaryota; Metazoa; Chordata; Actinopteri; Cypriniformes; Cobitidae. The record is from RefSeq and is a predicted model, not a curated record.